GUAGAUGCUCAUUCCACUCCUUAUGAUAGCAUUGGCUUCAUAAACCUAGGAAUGAUGCAGAGCCGAUUAUUCGGUGCCUACGUCCAGGUUAACGAUGAACAUCAUUCAUCAUCAACAGGACGAAACGUUGAGUGAGGCACCAUCCGUCUGUAGACCUGAUUGUAUAUUUAUACGCCUGUAUAGUUUUAUACAGGCGUUUUUUU
This 203-nucleotide small RNA is filed under the name Proteus vulgaris. RNAcentral describes it as "GlmZ RNA activator of glmS mRNA". It matches the Rfam family "GlmZ RNA activator of glmS mRNA". Rfam says of the family: This RNA was discovered in E. coli during a large scale screen. The sraJ gene was expressed in early logarithmic phase, but its level decreased with cell growth. Specific cleavage products of this RNA were found. The record is from RNAcentral. Lineage: Bacteria; Pseudomonadati; Pseudomonadota; Gammaproteobacteria; Enterobacterales; Morganellaceae.